Long non-coding RNA from Tachysurus vachellii, 855 nucleotides. RefSeq lists it as uncharacterized. The record is from RefSeq and is a predicted model, not a curated record. The transcript has 5 exons. Lineage: Eukaryota; Metazoa; Chordata; Actinopteri; Siluriformes; Bagridae.
GAGCAGACGAGCACUACAGAGGGGAGGAUGGAGCAGAUGAGCACUACAGAGGGGAGGUUGGAGCAGAUGAGCACUACAGAGGGGGAGAUGGAGCAGACGAGCACUUCGGAGGGUCAAGCUGUCUUCACAGGGUCAGCCAGGGGCACAGUCACAAGUCCCAAAAAGAAAAAGUCAGGUGGACUAAGACAUAUGCCAGAGAGGAAAAAGCCACAAAAGAGUAAGUGCAUGUAAAUGCAAUGAUUGAUGCUUCCAUCAGUGUGUUGACAUUGCUAUUUUACCCUUGGUUAUUUGCUCUAUUUCUAUUGGGUUUUUUAACUACUUACAACAGAUAAUUGGUCCUAACAGACAAACUAUAAAAUCCAACUGGCUUCAGGUGUCUAAUUUGACCAAAAUGCAUUGCCAAGUAGUAGAAGAAGCAGCAGUAGAGUAUUCUCAAUUGUGAUCUGUGGCUCAGCAGAGGUAUUGUUAUCCCAGAAAGAAUACCACAUUUGAACUGAGAAUAAUUUGGUUAUAGGGUACAAGUUAAACCUGGUUCAACUUUUGAUUAAAGAUAAACAUCACUUGUCAUCCUUGUAAGUCUGGUCACUACUUAAGUCUUCUUAGUUGUUUAUUUUGUUCCUAAUCUAAGAAAUGUGUGAAACAUGUUUUUGAUGUUCACAGAUUGCUCCUAUCACGCUCGCUUAGAGACUUUCCCCAUCAGGAGUGUUGUAAGAGAAAGAGUGAGAAAGGGCAAAGCAGAAAUGUUGGUUGACUGGGAGCCCUGUCCAGUAUGUGGCAAGGAGUGGGCCCAUUCCUGGCAGCCAAAGGAUUCUCUUCAAAUGAAUAAAAAUAAAUAAAAUGUACAAUUGUAAUCCA